GCUUGUCUCAAAGAUUAAGCCAUGCAUGUCUAAGUAUAAGCCUUUAUAUGGUGAGACUGCGAAUGGCUCAUUAAAUCAGAAACUGUUUAUUUGAUAGUGCCUACUACAUGGAUACCUGUAGUAAUUCUAGAGCUAAUACAUGCAAAAAGCCUGGACUUCUGGAACAGGCGUAUUUAUUAGAUAUACAAACCAACCGCUUCGGCGACCCUUGGUGACUCAUAAUAACUUCGCAAAUCGCAGUAAUACUGCGAUAAAUCAUUCAAGUUUCUGCCCUAUCAUGCUCUCGAUGGUAGUGUAUUGGACUACCAUGGCUCUCACGGGUAACGGGGAAUUAGGGUUCGAUUCCGGAGAAGGAGCCUGAGAAACGGCUACUACAUCUAAGGAAGGCAGCAGG
This 394-nucleotide ribosomal RNA is filed under the name uncultured Telonemia. RNAcentral's name for it is "partial small subunit ribosomal RNA". It matches the Rfam family "Eukaryotic small subunit ribosomal RNA", at positions 30 to 432 of the family's 1831-position model. The record is from RNAcentral. Lineage: Eukaryota; Telonemia.